UGGCCACCAUUUUUUUUCCCCCCUGGUUUCAGUUAAUUAAAUCACUUCUUCUAAUUUCUGCCAUUUUCUCCUGACCAACUCCCUAGCCAUCUUUGCAUAGCACUGAAUUCUGAAACAAUCUUAGAAGCUUACACUGAAGACUCAAUGUUUACACUAAAGGACAGAACCAGGACAGAUAAGGCAAAAUGACAGUGAGAGAAAUGGUAUGUUAAUAUAAGGAAGAUCUAGCUAUGUGGGGUAACUUGCAAUGAAGCUGGCUGACACAGAAGUGAUGAAUUCAACAUGAGUAAAUAUGUUUAAGUCAAAGAGGAAUGACUAACAUGAUAAAAGAUUUUUUUGGAAAGAGCACCAAAGAGUCUUUCUACCUCCAAUAUUAUAUAAGAACAAGAUAUUAAAUACAUCUAAAUAUUUAAGUGAAACUGAACUUUAAAUUCAGUUUUGUCUGAAGCACUGAAGGCUGAGAGUAAGCACACCCGAGUGGGGUGAGGGGACAGGGGCCCUGCAAAGGACAUGCUAAGGGUAUGAAACUGAUUCUGGCAGCAUAGGGAAUUGCCAUAGCAGCCAGGAGAAGAGAACUGUUGAGGAGGAAGGGGUGAUCAGAGUGCUCUGCUCCACCUUCUCAAACAAGCCUGAGCUUUGAGGGGGGAACUUUAUUUGUGUUUCUGGAGUUGGAGGCAUGGGAAUAAGGAAUCAGGGAAGAUAGAAAUUUAAGAAAUUCAAAAGCAAUAGGAGUGACUAAAGCUGCCCACUAGGUGGCAGAGCCAGGGGAGUCCUGGGAGGGAGCUAGGACUUUUCCCCCACAGGUUCAGUUUCCUCAUGGGGCAAAUGGAAGUGGAUUUGAGCCAUUCUGAGAGAGUCUCCCCCCCCACCCCACCCCCCAAUAAAGAGAAUUUAUGUAUGAUCAACUGCUGGGUUCCAGGGACUGAGGGAAGGAAUGCGAAGCUGAUCACCGGACAAACCAUCCAGGUAUCAAUUAAUAUUCAGUCAAUGAAUACACUCCACCAUAAGUGGAGGACAUUUGUGUGUUUUGAGGAUGCAUGCAAUAGAUUUCCUAGAAUGAUGGGGACUUUGGGGAAAAAAAUCCUUGGAGAAUGACAUUAGCACCAAUCUUGAAAGCCCUUGACUGCCCAGCUAAAAUCUUACAGUCCAAACCAGUAAGAGGAAUUCACCAUUGUUAUUGGACUGAGAAAAGUCAUGAUGUUAGAUAAUUGGGAUACAGAUUCUUCCUUGGGCCCACUGAUUUCACUAUUAUGGACCGGAUUUUCCCCAAAUCAAACUGAACUGAUUCCUAUUGAGGUCUACUCUUUCACAUUCAUUCUUUUAUCCUUAUUCAGCUUUCUCCCUUCUAAACUGUUUGUUCAUAUGCAUUGUAAUGAUAUUUAAUCUUGUGUUCAGUGUUCCAUGCUAGUAUUACUUUGCCUGCUAAAAUCAUUCCUAUUUACUGCUAUUAUUAUCAAUUUUAUAAGAGAUUCCUUAUUCCAUCUCUCAUCCACCAAACCCAAUCUUUCUGAUGUUUUCCUCACUUAGAACUGCAUCUUCUUAUGUCAUGAAAUCAUUUUCAUUGAGCCUUUACAAACACAACUCAAAACUCAGUUCUCCUGUGAUGCCUCUAAGAUUUCUGCAGAAUCAUGGACAGUCUCCUAAAGGAAAUUUUCCAAGUUAAAAUGAUUGAAAAUUGUAUCUAUCCUCCCAAAUUUCACUGCAACUCACCUCACUCCCAACUUCUACUUUAUUCUUACUCAGAACAAAGGGGGUGUUCUUUGAACUGUGUUUUGAAGGAGAUGUAUAGUAAUGCUGAAGCAAAUGUCUCACUACUAAAAAUUGCUAAUGAUAACAGUAAUUAAUUAGAUUAAAUACUUUGGCAACUUUCUAGCUCUGAAAGUGUUUCCUAACAAUAACUAUUGAUGAUACUAAUCGAUGUUCAUGAAGAGAAUGAACAACUUCUCUAUCUGUAAAACUCUGUUUUUCAAUACCCAUUACUAUGGUCUCUUGAGACUACUUUGCAUACUUUCAUUUGUUUACCUGAUGCUAAAUCCUGGAACUGCUCUUGCGGGACACAUACAGGGAAAAUGUCUCUGGUCUCUGAAGUCUUUCCUGAUUUAUCAAAAUUUAUUAGAGAAGAAAAUUGACUACCUUGUCAAAUAUCCAUAAUGUUUCACUGCAUUUGUUUGUAUUUUAUUAAAAUAACUCAUAUUUAAAAUAAGAACAUUUUUUUUUUUCUUUUUAUGGCCACGCCUGCAGUAUAUAGAAAUUCCUAGGCUAAGGGUUGAAUCAGAACUGCAGUUGUAGGCCUGUACCACAACCACAGCCACACCAGAUCCAAGCCACAUCUGCGACCUAUGCCACAGCUUGCAGGAAUGGAAUGCCAGAUCCUUGAUCCACGGAUUGAACUUGCAUCCUCACAGAGCCUAUCUAGGGUUCUUAACCCACUGAGCCACAAUGGAAACUUCUGAAAACAUAUUUUAUAUGAUACUAUUUUUCCUUUUAUUUUACAUUAUGGUGCUAAUUAGGUAUAUUUUAAAAAUGUCUAUGGAGAAAGGCUUUAUUUUUGCUUUUAUUUGUAACAGUUGGGGACAUAUGUAUUAUGUAUGUGUGUGUAUAUACAUAUGUGAAUUUUAAAAUUUCUUUAUGUUUAUUCAACUUGUAUUUUUUUGUUUGUGUAACUUAAAAAUCAAUAAUGAUUUUCUUCCUUCAUGUUAAAGAGUUCGGAUAAAAUGCAAAAGCACGAAAUUGCACCUGAUACUUGAAAGUUGCUGUUCCUGACAGCACUUCAUCUUUUUUCAUGCCCAUCUUGGCUUUUCUCCCGGCCCAUCCAUUGCUUAAUGUAAGUGUUAUAAAUUGCUCUAAAGUGCCAUAAAGCAUAAUAAACAUAAAUCAAUAUUUCUUGGUUAAAAACUUAGAAAUGCUGACCCAGCCCAGGUUGGUUAUCGAUGUCCUGCACCCAUCAUGUCCUUUGGUUAUUUUAUCUUAGCAGGAGCCACUUUGGGGCUCAAGAAUGCCUCUCUUUUUGUUUUUCUCUCUGGCCUGAUUCACACGGACACUUGCAAUGACACCUCAGGACAGAUUGUGGGGAAGAUAUCAUCCAGCAGUCUUAGAAAAGCCCCAUUCUUUUUCCUUUUGGCCUCUGAUCUUGGCAACUUUGGAAGAGUGGCGUGACAGUCUCAGACAAAGUUAGAACAUAAGCCGGCAGUACGUCAAGUUCGUCUGAGGCAAAUUCUUGCUUGUCAUGGGGAAAGAAAUGUUCAUUUUCUUCUGAGAUUCAAUGAAUUAAGCAAAAGCCCACUUCUUUCCUUCUGGCUUGCAAAUGUAGCAACUGAUCUAAAUGGAACACCUGCAGGCAGCUUAAUGACAAAACCCACCCAUUUGAAUUUCUGCUAUCUUUGGAAUUUUUUAAUAUGAUUAUAUGCUGUACCCUUGGAUAUAAAACCACAUCCCUCUCCUGGAAAUGACAGCUUGCCCUCACAGCUCACUGAUGCUAUUUAUGUGGCAUUGUUGUUAUUUAUUUUAUCUCAAAGGGAAUGAUUGAAUGGCUUUGUGGUUUCUCCCAAGAAAAUGUGGAGCUACAUAGUAUGAAAUCUGCAAGCUCAGGUGAUCAUCUUUCUUGAGGUGAUUUUCACAGGCAGCUCUUUGGAAAUUGCAUGAAAAUUGGGAAGACAUUAGACAAAGUGGUUUUAUUAGACUUAUUGACUCAAAGCUCACUUUUCACACUAAUUGUGAUCCGGUGCGCUCAGAGGGCAGCCUGCCUUCUCCCCCAUACCUCAUCCCCUUACAGCCAAAAGCAAUGCUCUUUCCACCCACCCCCAGGAUAUCUAAAAGCAUGUAUGUGCAUUGUGGAAAUGAGGAUGCAGAGAAUUAGAUGGACCUUCCAGUUAACCCAGCCUGAAAAGCUACCAUUAGCCUCUCAUUCAUUUGGAUUCUGGAAACUGCUGGAUCAAAAGAAAAAAAAAAAUUAAAUGACCUCUAAGUAUAUAAAAAGAUGCCAAACUGUUCUCAGAAUAAGAGUAGUAUAAAUUAAAAAUAUACCCAAAUACCGUUUUUUUCACUAAUGAGUUUAGUAAGACCAAAAUUUAAUACAUUUUUUUGGAUGAUUCUUUGAACAAACAGGCAUCCUCUAGGGCUAUUGAUGGGUACAAGGAGGAUUAGUUACAGCUAUUAAACUUGUAAAUGCAAUUACCCUUUGAUUUCAGCAAUCCCAGUACUGGAAACUGAUCCUACAGUAAAAAUUGCACAUAUGAAUAAAAAAAAUGUGUUUAAUGUGUUAUGCACAUAUGUUUAAAAUUAUACAUUGAAAGCUCUAACUAUCAGAAGUUCAAAACUCUAGGGGACUGGUUAAAUUAACUAUAGUAUAUGCACCUAAAGGAAUAUUGUACAGCAGUAUAAAAGAAUGGGGAAGCUCAUUAUAUGCUGAUAUGAAAAUAUCUCUAGGAUGUAGCUUUAAAUGGGUAAGUGAAGACAGAGAACAUGGAAUGUAUAAUAAUAUGCAUAUAUAUGGAAAGAGGGAAUAAGAAUUCUUUAUUCUUACUCAGUAUUUGCAUAAAGAUGUACCAAAAGUAUAACUUAAGAAAUUAGUAACAGUGGCUAUCUGAAAAUUAAUAACAAGUGGUUACUUGUGAAAAGGAACAAGAUGGAUGGAAUCAGAGAAAGGGGUAAGAAUUAUCAGUGUUUACUGCUUUUAUUUUUGAACUGUUUGAAAGUGUAGAUUUUUUAAAUUAGAGGCAAUAUAUUUAUGUAUUUGUUUAUUUUGUAAAUAUAUGAUUGUGGUAAAAUAUAUACAGCUUAGAAUUUGCCAUUUUCACUACUUUAAAUGUACAAUUCAGUGGCAUUAAUUAUGUUCACAAUGUUCUGCAACCCUCACUACUGUCCACUUCCAAAACUUUUUAAUCACCUCAAACAGAAACUCUAACAAUUAGGUAGUGACUUUCCACUCUCCCCUCCCCACAGCCUCUAGUUACCUCAAAUCUGUUUUCUGUCUCCAUGAAUAUGCCUAUUCCAGAAAUUUCCUAUCAGUGGAAUAUACAAUAUUUGUUCUUCUGUGUCCAGUUUAUUUCACUCAGCAUGAUGUCUUAUGCGUAUUGUACCAUGUGUCAGAACUUCAUUUAUUUUUAUGACUGCAUAAUAUUCCAUUACGUGUAUAAAACACAUUGUUGUCCAUUCCUCUGCUGAUGGAUACUAGGGUUGUUUCCUCCUUUUGGAUGUUAUUAAUAAUGUUGUAAUGAACAUUAGGGUCCAAGUUCUGUUUGAGUCCUUGUUUUCAAUCCAUUUGUCUAUAUAUCUAGGCAUGGAAUUGCUAAAUCAUUUGGUAAUUCUGAGGCUAGCUUUUCAAGAAACUGCCAAACUGUUUUCCAUAGUGGCUGCACUUUUUACAUUCCCAUCAGCAAA
This 5379-nucleotide long non-coding RNA is filed under the name Sus scrofa (pig). Its description in RNAcentral is "lncRNA (ENSSSCG00015018552.1)". The record is from RNAcentral. Lineage: Eukaryota; Metazoa; Chordata; Mammalia; Artiodactyla; Suidae.